AGCACGAUGGAAUCUGGUGGCUUAAACCUAGCUGUCCACAUUUCACUAUCUGAAGAGCAGAAAAUGUGUUAAUAGGAGCCUGGUGAGUGGAGGAGACUGAAGAUGGAGAGAGAGCCUGGACCUCAACAUGAGCAUCUGGAGCCAUUUGGCAGCAUUAGGCUGUGACCGCUUAGAGAACCGAAAGAAAAGAGAAAACAUUUCCAUGGAAGAGGAAACAGGAAAUUCCAACAGAUCAGCAACAGUUGGAGUGCUAACCUGUCACUGGAAUGGGAAAAAAAAUGCUGUCGUUGACACAUCUUUUCCUUGUUUUUGACACAAAUUAGAAACACCACCUGGAACACAGCUGUGACUUGAUAAACAAGUGAAACAUUCUUUGGUGUGGUGAGGGGAAAACAAAUUUCUCAAAGGACACGCACCAUGGUGUAUGAGAGGACACUGGAGCCCAGCCAGCAUCUGACAUGCUGAAUUCAAAGUGCAGAAGACAGAGAUGAAGAAAAGAAGGAAGUGGAGGCAAUGAGGAAAGGAGGGAAGAAGGAAGGAAGGAAAUCAUGCUUGAAAGAAGUUGUGGAACAUGUCAAGUUUUUUUCCGGAUGUGGCGGAGAUUAUGCAGCUACAAUGAAGCCAGAUUAAGAUUUCAGGAAAAUGGACAGAUCUCUACAAUGUUCUCCAAAGAGAUUGUUUUGCUUGCCAAUAAAAAGAGACACCUGGGAGCACCAUACUCUCUCCUGUUCCUCUGGGUAUCAUAUUUCCUUAUGACACCUGAAACUCUGAUGCCUUCUGGGUCCAUGAAAGCAGUGAGAUGAGCACAGGAAACCACGCUGAGGAUGGUUGAGCAAAAAGGUGACAUUGAGCCACUGGAUUAACCUGCCCAGAAACAGGAUAUCUUCAGAUUUCUUGUUAAGUAAGAAAAUGUAAUUUUGUUGAUUCUAAGUUACACUUUCUUUUGUUAGUUCAACAUCUCUGAAAUCAGAACAUAUUUUGCCAUGGUAAUAUCUUACCAUCACUGUAAUAUGUAAUAUCCUUACAUAGGUGUCAUUGCCUAUGCAUGUGUCAACUUGAUUGCUAUUCUCUGUGAUAUGACUGACAACUGCAGCCCUUUGACAGUUCAGUCGACAAACCAUUGAAGAUUAUUAGGGUAAGAAAUACUGCUUUCUGUCUGAAAACUUUCCAAUGACAUCUUCUGAAAAGACAAAGAAAGUAUCAGCAUCAAAAUUUGCGUAAUAGGCCGGGCGCGGUGGCUCACGCCUGUAAUCCCAGCACUUUGGGAGGCCGAGGCGGGCGGAUCACGAGGUCAGGAGAUCGAGACCAUCCCGGCUAAAACGGUGAAACCCCGUCUCUACUAAAAAUACAAAAAA
RNAcentral lists this long non-coding RNA (1355 nucleotides) under Homo sapiens (human). RNAcentral's name for it is "long intergenic non-protein coding RNA 578". Lineage: Eukaryota; Metazoa; Chordata; Mammalia; Primates; Hominidae. The record is from RNAcentral.